This 926-nucleotide ribosomal RNA is filed under the name uncultured organism. RNAcentral's name for it is "bacterial SSU rRNA". It matches the Rfam family "Bacterial small subunit ribosomal RNA", at positions 1 to 917 of the family's 1533-position model. The record is from RNAcentral.
UGGAUCCAGACUUUGAUCAUGGCUCAGGAUGAACGCUAGCUACAGGCUUAACACAUGCAAGUCGAGGGGAAACGACAUCGAAAGCUUGCUUUUGAUGGGCGUCGACCGGCGCACGGGUGAGUAACGCGUAUCCAACCUGCCCACCACUUGGGGAUAACCUUGCGAAAGUAAGACUAAUACCCAAUGACGUCUCUAGAAGACAUCUGAAGGAGAUUAAAGAUUUAUCGGUGAUGGAUGGGGAUGCGUCUGAUUAGCUUGUUGGCGGGGUAACGGCCCACCAAGGCGACGAUCAGUAGGGGUUCUGAGAGGAAGGUCCCCCACAUUGGAACUGAGACACGGUCCAAACUCCUACGGGAGGCAGCAGUGAGGAAUAUUGGUCAAUGGGCGAGAGCCUGAACCAGCCAAGUAGCGUGCAGGAUGACGGCCCUAUGGGUUGUAAACUGCUUUUAUAAGGGAAUAAAGUGAGUCUCGUGACUCCUUUUGCAUGUACCUUAUGAAUAAGGACCGGCUAAUUCCGUGCCAGCAGCCGCGGUAAUACGGAAGGUCCGGGCGUUAUCCGGAUUUAUUGGGUUUAAAGGGAGCGUAGGCCGGAGAUUAAGCGUGUUGUGAAAUGUAGAUGCUCAACAUCUGCACUGCAGCGCGAACUGGUUUCCUUGAGUACGCACGAAGUGGGCGGAAUUCGUGGUGUAGCGGUGAAAUGCUUAGAUAUCACGAAGAACUCCGAUUGCGAAGGCAGCUCACUGGAGCGCAACUGACGCUGAAGCUCGAAAGUGCGGGUAUCGAACAGGAUUAGAUACCCUGGUAGUCCGCACGGUAAACGAUGGAUGCCCGCUGUUGGUCUGAAUAGGUCAGCGGCCAAGCGAAAGCAUUAAGCAUCCCACCUGGGGAGUACGCCGGCAACGGUGCAACUCAAAUGAAUUGAGGGA